Molecule: ribosomal RNA, 692 nt
Filed under: uncultured bacterium
Lineage: Bacteria
Description: bacterial SSU rRNA
Rfam family: Bacterial small subunit ribosomal RNA
Source: RNAcentral
GAAAGAAAGAUUAAUACUGGAUAGCAUAACGAGAAGGCAUCUUCUUGUUAUUAAAGAAUUUCGAUAAUCGAUGGGGAUGCGUUCCAUUAGUUUGUUGGCGGGGUAACGGCCCACCAAGACAUCGAUGGAUAGGGGUUCUGAGAGGAAGGUCCCCCACAUUGGAACUGAGACACGGUCCAAACUCCUACGGGAGGCAGCAGUGAGGAAUAUUGGUCAAUGGACGAGAGUCUGAACCAGCCAAGUAGCGUGAAGGAUGACUGCCCUAUGGGUUGUAAACUUCUUUUAUAUGGGAAUAAAGUGAGCCACGUGUGGCUUUUUGUAUGUACCAUACGAAUAAGGAUCGGCUAACUCCGUGCCAGCAGCCGCGGUAAUACGGAGGAUCCGAGCGUUAUCCGGAUUUAUUGGGUUUAAAGGGAGCGUAGGCGGAUUAUUAAGUCAGUUGUGAAAGUUUGCGGCUCAACCGUAAAAUUGCAGUUGAUACUGGUAGUCUUGAGUGCAGCAGAGGUAGGCGGAAUUCGUGGUGUAGCGGUGAAAUGCUUAGAUAUCACGAAGAACUCCGAUUGCGAAGGCAGCUUACUGGACUGUAACUGACGCUGAUGCUCGAAAGUGUGGGUAUCAAACAGGAUUAGAUACCCUGGUAGUCCACACAGUAAACGAUGGAUACUCGCUGUUUGCGAUAUACAGCAAGCGGC